GCCUGGGUGGCUCAGUCGGUUAAGCGUCUGACUUCGGCUUAGGUCAUGAUCUCGCGGUCCGUGGGUUCAAGCCCCACGUCGGGCU
This 85-nucleotide transfer RNA is filed under the name Felis catus (domestic cat). It matches the Rfam family "tRNA". From Rfam's summary of the family: Transfer RNA (tRNA) molecules are approximately 80 nucleotides in length. Lineage: Eukaryota; Metazoa; Chordata; Mammalia; Carnivora; Felidae. The record is from Rfam by way of RNAcentral.